AGUCUAGAUCUUACGAGUGAUGCCGGUGCUUGCGCCGGGGAUUAGUGGCGAACGGGUGAGUAACACGUGAGUAACCUGCCCUUAACUCUGGGAUAAGCCUGGGAAACUGGGUCUAAUACCGGAUAUGACUGAUCAUCGCAUGGUGGUUGGUGGAAAGCUUUUUGUGGUUUUGGAUGGACUCGCGGCCUAUCAGCUUGUUGGUGAGGUAAUGGCUUACCAAGGCGACGACGGGUAGCCGGCCUGAGAGGGUGACCGGCCACACUGGGACUGAGACACGGCCCAGACUCCUACGGGAGGCAGCAGUGGGGAAUAUUGCACAAUGGGCGCAAGCCUGAUGCAGCGACGCCGCGUGAGGGAUGACGGCCUUCGGGUUGUAAACCUCUUUCAGUAGGGAAGAAGCGAAAGUGACGGUACCUGCAGAAGAAGCGCCGGCUAACUACGUGCCAGCAGCCGCGGUAAUACGUAGGGCGCAAGCGUUAUCCGGAAUUAUUGGGCGUAAAGAGCUCGUAGGCGGUUUGUCGCGUCUGCCGUGAAAGUCCGGGGCUCAACUCCGGAUCUGCGGUGGGUACGGGCAGACUAGAGUGAUGUAGGGGAGACUGGAAUUCCUGGUGUAGCGGUGAAAUGCGCAGAUAUCAGGAGGAACACCGAUGGCGAAGGCAGGUCUCUGGGCAUUAACUGACGCUGAGGAGCGAAAGCAUGG
RNAcentral lists this ribosomal RNA (700 nucleotides) under Pseudarthrobacter sp. RNAcentral describes it as "bacterial SSU rRNA". It matches the Rfam family "Bacterial small subunit ribosomal RNA", at positions 60 to 764 of the family's 1533-position model. The record is from RNAcentral. Lineage: Bacteria; Bacillati; Actinomycetota; Actinomycetes; Micrococcales; Micrococcaceae.